Molecule: long non-coding RNA, 1447 nt
Organism: Ictalurus punctatus (channel catfish)
Lineage: Eukaryota; Metazoa; Chordata; Actinopteri; Siluriformes; Ictaluridae
Source: Ensembl
GUGUGUGUAUUAGUGAGUGAAAGAGAGAGAGAGAGAAUUUUUUAAUCAAAAGUAUUACAAGACAUAGCCUUACUACUCAAUAUGUUCUGUGUUUCAUUACCAGUCCGUGUGUCAGCACACACAGUUAAUCGACCAUUAGUUUCAGCCAAUAUUUACAAUGCAGCAUUAUUCAGCAUUAAAAACAAUUCCUAUGUGACCAUUAUUUUACUACUCAACAACUAGCCACUGUGAAUUUAAAGAGUCUACAAACCCCUGUCAGUGGUGGCUGAAAAGUCGAGGGUUUCAUCCAAGGGCGAAACGUCUGUGAGUAAUCCGUGUCAUGUGGUGAUGCCUAGCCUUGGGUCACACUCUAGGGGCGUCUCCUUAUUGCAAGAUGGUAAUGACAGACACCUCCCUCACAGGCUGGGUCACGGUCUUAGAUGACUGUCCAGCUCACGGUCUCUGGAGUGGCCCUCAUCUGGAGUGGCAUAUAAAUUACUUUUCUUGCACAGAAAUUCCUUCUUUCUUAAUUGAGAGGUCACCAUAUGUUAGUGACAGACAACACAGCAGUGGUCUCACAUAUCAACCACCAAGGAGGGUUAUGUUCGUGUCCCCUGUUCAGGCAGGCACAACUAGUUCUUCUCUGGGCAGAGGUAAAGUUUUUGUCAGUGAGUGUAAUGUACAUACUGGGCAACUGGAAUGUGGGGGCAGACAUCCUGUUGAGGCAGUGGCUGAGGCCCAGGGAUUGGUGGCUACAUCCACAAGUGGUGGAGUCCAUAAGGCGGAGGUUCAGCAAAGUGGAGGUCGAUGUGUUCGUCUCUGAGGAGACAACACACGGCCUGCCGUGGUUCGCUCUCCCUCCUCCCACACCAUUGGGGCUAGACUCCAUGGUGCACACGUGGCCAAGGUCACAUCUGUAUGUUUUUCCCAUGAUCACUCUGCUCCCAGAAGUUCUAGCAAAAGUUCACCAAGACGGUCAACGUCUGCUGCUAGUAGCACCUUAUUGGCCAGCUCGAAUAUGGUUCUCAGAGAUAAUAUCCCUACAUCCCGGCACUCCUAGGAAUAUUCCCCUCCACAGGGAUCUACUGUAUAAAGCCAGAGGGCUGAUUUGUCACCUUCAGCCAGAGGUAUGGAAACUGUGGGGUUGGCUCCUUCUACAAUCAGGUUCUACGUAGCCACCAUUUCAGUCAGCCACACCCCUAUGGAUGGAGCCUCUGUGAGGCAACAUCCUCUAAUUUCGAGGUUUAUGUGUGGUGUCAGGUGGCUGAGGCCCAUCUGCCGGCCGCGCAUACCUUCCUGGGAUCUUCUGUGGUCCUGGAAGGUCUGUCAGGUGCCCCAUUUGAGCCCUUAGAGUCAGCCUCUGAGAAGCUUCUGACUCUAAAGGUAGCUCUUCUGCUGGCCCUGACAUCUCUCAAGCGAGUAGGAGAUCUACAAACUCUCUCUGUUGCCCCUUCCUGCCUUGACUUUG